RNAcentral lists this unclassified non-coding RNA (388 nucleotides) under soil metagenome. Its description in RNAcentral is "partial contains 5.8S ribosomal RNA, internal transcribed spacer 2, and large subunit ribosomal RNA". The stretch from base 1 to 120 matches the Rfam family "5.8S ribosomal RNA", at positions 35 to 154 of the family's 154-position model. The record is from RNAcentral.
GAUGAAGAACGCAGCGAAAUGCGAUAAGUAAUGUGAAUUGCAGAAUUCAGUGAAUCAUCGAAUCUUUGAACGCACCUUGCGCUCCUUGGUAUUCCGAGGAGCAUGCCUGUUUGAGUGUCAUUAAAUUCUCAACCUCACCAGUUUUGUAACGAGACAGGUGAAGGCUUGGAUGUGGGGGUUUUGCAGGCUGCCUCAGUGCUGGUCUGCUCUCCUGAAAUGCAUUAGCGAGCUCAUAUUGAGCUUCCGUCUAUUGGUGUGAUAAUUAUCUACGCCGUGGAUUGGACUCAUGCUUGCUUCUAACCGUCCGCAAGGACAAUUUACUUGACCAAUUUGACCUCAAAUCAGGUAGGACUACCCGCUGAACUUAAGCAUAUCAAUAAGCGGAGGA